UACGUAGGGUGCAAGCGUUGUCCGGAAUUAUUGGGCGUAAAGAGCUCGUAGGCGGUCUGUCGCGUCUGCUGUGAAAACUCGGGGCUUAACCCCGGGCCUGCAGUGGGUACGGGCAGACUAGAGUGCGGUAGGGGAGACUGGAAUUCCUGGUGUAGCGGUGAAAUGCGCAGAUAUCAGGAGGAACACCGGUGGCGAAGGCGGGUCUCUGGACCAAUACUGACGAUCAGGUGCGAAAGCGUGGGGAGCAAACAGG
RNAcentral lists this ribosomal RNA (253 nucleotides) under uncultured bacterium. RNAcentral's name for it is "partial 16S ribosomal RNA". It matches the Rfam family "Bacterial small subunit ribosomal RNA", at positions 524 to 776 of the family's 1533-position model. The record is from RNAcentral.